RNAcentral lists this ribosomal RNA (1473 nucleotides) under uncultured Bordetella sp. Its description in RNAcentral is "partial 16S-23S ribosomal RNA intergenic spacer". It matches the Rfam family "Bacterial small subunit ribosomal RNA". The record is from RNAcentral. Lineage: Bacteria; Pseudomonadati; Pseudomonadota; Betaproteobacteria; Burkholderiales; Alcaligenaceae.
AGUUCGAUUAUGGCUCAGAUUGAACGCUUGUGAUGCUUUACACAUGCAAGUCGAACGGCAGCACGGACUUCGGUCUGGUGGCAAAUGGCGAACGGGUGAGUAAUGUAUCGGAACGUGCCUAGUAGCGGGGGAUAACUACGCGAAAGCGUAGCUAAUACCACAUACGCCCUUCGGGGAAAGCGGGGACCUUCGGGCCUCGCACUAUUAGAGCAGCCGAUAUCGGAUUAGCUAGUUGGUGGGGGUAACGGCUCGCAAGGCGACGAUCCGUAGCUGGUUUGAGAGGACGACCAGCCACACUGGGACUGAGACACGGCCCAGACUCUACGGGAGGCAGCAGUGGGGAAUUUUGGACAAUGGGGAAACCUGAUCAGCCAUCCCGCGUGUGCGAUGAAGGCCUUCCGGGUUGUAAAGCACUUUUGGCAGGAAAGAAACAGCACAGGAUAAUACCCCUGCAACUGACAGUACCUGCAGAAUAAGCACCGGCUAACUACGUGCGCAGCAGCCGCGGUAAUACGUAGGGGUGCAGCGUUAAUCGGAAUUACUGGGCGUAAAGCGUGCGCGAGCGGUUCGGAAGAAAGAUGUGAAAUCCCAGAGCUUAACUUUGGAACUGCAUUUUUAACUACCGAGCUAGAGUGUGUCAGAGGAGGUGGAAUUCCGUGUAGCAGUGAAAUGCGUAGAUAUGCGGAGGGGCACCGAUGGUGAAGGCAGCCUCCUGGGAUAACACUGACGCUCAUGCACGAAAGCGUGGGGAGCAAACAGGAUUAGAUACCCUGGUAGUCCACGCCUAAACGAUGUCAACUAGCUGUUGGGGCCUUCGGGCCUUGGUAGCGCAGCUAACGCGUGAAGUUGACCGCCUGGGGGCUACGAUGCAGAUUAAAACUCAAAAGGAAUUGGCGGGGACCCGCACAAGCGGUGGAUGAUGUGGAUUAAUUCGAUGCAACGCGAAAAACCUUACCUACCCUUGACAUGUCUGGAAUCCCGAAGAGAUUUGGGAGUGCUCGCAAGAGAACCGGAACACAGGUGCUGCAUGGCUGUCGUCAGCUCGUGUCGUGAGAUGUUGGGUUAAGUCCCGCAACGAGCGCAACCCUUGUCAUUAGUUGCUACGAAAGGGCACUCUAAUGAGACUGCCGGUGACAAACCGGAGGAAGGUGGGGAUGACGUCAAGUCCUCAUGGCCCUUAUGGGUAGGGCUUCACACGUCAUACAAUGGUCGGGACAGAGGGUCACCAGCCCGCGAGGGGAGCCAAUCCAGAAACCCGAUCGUAGUCCGGAUCUUGAUCUGCAACUCGACUGCGUGAAGUCGGAAUCGCUAGUAAUCGCGGAUCAGCAUGUCGCGGUGAAUACGUUCCCGGGUCUUGUACACACCGCCCGUCACACCAUGGGAGUGGGUUUUACCAGAAGUAGUUAGCCUAACCGUAAGGAGGGCGAUUACCACGGUAGGAUUCAUGACUGGGGUGAAGUCGUAACAAGGUAG